GGGUCGUUAGCUGGUAGAGCAGUUGACUUUUAAUCAAUUGGUCGCAGGUUCGAAUCCUGCACGACCCACCA
This 71-nucleotide transfer RNA is filed under the name Klebsiella pneumoniae. RNAcentral describes it as "tRNA-Lys". It matches the Rfam family "tRNA". From Rfam's summary of the family: Transfer RNA (tRNA) molecules are approximately 80 nucleotides in length. Lineage: Bacteria; Pseudomonadati; Pseudomonadota; Gammaproteobacteria; Enterobacterales; Enterobacteriaceae. The record is from RNAcentral.